CUUGAAUUCCUAUAAGAGGUCCAGCCUGCCCAGUGACUUUGUUCAACGGCCGCGGUAUCCUAACCGUGCGAAGGUAGCGUAAUCACUUGUCUUUUAAAUGAGGACUUGUAUGAAUGGCAUCACGAGGGUUAUACUGUCUCCUUUUUCUAAUCAGUGAAACUAAUCUUCCCGUGAAGAAGCGGGGAUAAAUAUAUAAGACGAGAAGACCCUAUGGAGCUUUAAACUUAAUAACAAAUACUAACCUUACUUCAACUUCCAGAACAUUAAUCUUAAUUUUAGUAUCCUGUUUAUUAGUUUUAGGUUGGGGUGACCGCGGAGUAAAAAUUAACCUCCAUAUUGAAUAGGACUUGUCCUUGAGCUAAGAACUACAGCCCUAAGCACCAAUAAAUUGACAUUAAUUGACCCA
This 406-nucleotide ribosomal RNA is filed under the name Osteocephalus leprieurii group sp. ABGD cluster 10. Its description in RNAcentral is "partial large subunit ribosomal RNA". It matches the Rfam family "Bacterial large subunit ribosomal RNA", at positions 1834 to 2422 of the family's 2925-position model. The record is from RNAcentral. Lineage: Eukaryota; Metazoa; Chordata; Amphibia; Anura; Hylidae.